Long non-coding RNA from Symphalangus syndactylus (siamang), 4907 nucleotides. RefSeq lists it as uncharacterized. The record is from RefSeq and is a predicted model, not a curated record. NCBI's taxonomy places the organism in Eukaryota, Metazoa, Chordata, Mammalia, Primates, Hylobatidae.
UUUUUUUUUUGAGACGGAGUCUCGCUCUGUCGCCCAGGCUGGAGUGCAGUGGCACAAUCUCGGCUCACUGCAAGCUCCGCCUCUGGGUUCACGCCAUUCUCCUGCCUCAGGCUCUCCGAGUAGCUGGGACUACAGGCGCCCGCCACCACGCCCGGCUAACUUUUUGUAUUUUUAGUAGAGACGGGGUUUCACCGUGGUCUCGAUCUCCUGACCUCGUGAUCCGCCCGCCUCGGCCUCCCAAAGUGCUGGGAUUACAAGCGUGAGCCACUGCGCCCGGCCUCAGAGAUUUCUUUUCUAUGAUCCAUUUUAGCAUCACAAUUGGCAUCUUGACACAGUGCUCUUCUCUGUCUCUGCACACAUCUCCUGAUUGUCUAAGAAUCAUGAGCCCCGUGAGUGUUGACUAGAGUUCACUGCCCCCCUUCUCUCCAGCCAAUUGCCUUGGAAGACUAGGUACUGCCUUGUCUGAUAAGUCAGCAGCCAAUGACAGACUGACAAUGUAAAAUGCCCACCCCUUGCUUUAAGGUGGGAUGAACCCAGAUGCAAUUUUUGCUCCAAGCUUUCCAUGGGACCAGACUGAAGCCAGACAGACUCCACCCGAGACCACAGCCGUGCUUAUACUUUUUCCUUUGCCCUCUCCGAUUUUCCUCCCUCUCUUCUCCUUAGAGCGCUGAUACAGUUUGGAUAUUUGUCCCACCCAAAUAUGUUGAAAUGUGAUCUCCAGUGUUGGAGGUGGGGCCUGGCGGGAGGUGACUGGAUCAUGGAGGCGGAUUUCUCGUGAAAUAGUUUAGCAUCGUCCUCUUGGUGCUGUUCUCAUGAUAGUGCAUGAGUUCUCACAAGAUCUGGAUGUUUAAAAGUGUGUGGCACCUCCCGCCCACUCUCGUGCUCCCACUCCUGCCUGGUGAAACACCUGCUCCCGCUUUGCCUUCCGCCAUGGGUAAGAGCUUCCUGAGGCCUCACCAGAAGAAGAUGCUGGCACUGUGUUUCCUGUACAGCCUGAAGAACCAGGAGACAAAUCAGCCUCCUUUCUUAUAAAUUACCCAGCCUCAGGUAUUUCUUUAUAGCAAUGUAAGAAACGGCUUAAUGCAUAUGCACACUGUAAUAAAUUACUUCUACAAGAAUCCCCAUUGCAGGCGCUGCUUAUAGGAACUUGACCUAGGAUAGCUGGUCAAGCAGAGCCAUCCCAUGAAGGAGACCGCAAGGAUGGGAUUCCUUAAGGGUGACUCACUGGCUGAAUGGUAAUGACGACCCAGCAGGUGGAAUAUUGACAGUCCCUGAAGUGCCCAAGCCCUGCAGUGGCUAAAACUUUCACCUGUGGUGCCCCCGGGAUCACAGCAGCAUCUAUUCAUGACCUUCCCAACAGCAGUGUGAAUUGUCCAGCUCUCUGUCACAAUAUAACUCAAGACCUGACCCCUGGCUGCUGCAGAUGCCCUAAGGCUGGAUGUGAUACUCAUCAUCUCCCUCCUCCCGCUAUGAGGCCAUAGGUGUAGCUGAGGGAGAGGUGUUCGUGCAAUAGUGGCAGAUGACUCGGGUGUCUGAGCCACCUGCUGUGCAGCCCAUUGCACCCCCUGGUCCUGCCAUGCUGUACUGCAGAUGUACCACUUCCAUCUCACUGUGGGUUACUGUUGGGUCCACCUGAGCUGAAGACUUGGUGGGUCCAGCAGAAUCAGCUCUUUUAUUUUAUUUUUAUGGAGACAGAGUCUUGCUGUGUCACCCAGGCCAGAGUGUAAUGGCGUGAUCUCAGCUCACUGCAACUUCCUCCUCCUGGGUUCAAGCGAUUCUCCUGUCUCAGCCUCCCAAGUAGCUGGGAUUACAGGCACCUGCCACCACGCCUGGCUAAUUUUUGCAUGUUUAGUAGAGAUGGGGUUUCACCAUCUUGGCCAGGCUGGUGAUCCUUCAGUGAUCCACCUUCAGUGGUCACUGACCACUGACCUUCAGUGAUUCACCUGCCUCGGCCUCCCAAAGUGCUGGGAUUACAGGCAUGAGCCACUGCGCCCAGCCAGAAUGAACUCAUCUUGGGAAGUUCUAACCAUCGGACAGUUUCUAGCAGGGUCCAGGAGCUGCUUUUUGAAUGGUUUGUAGUUCUCUGUUGUGUAAGGCACAGACUUUCUCCAGAACCCAAGGGGUCUGUACUGGGAAGUAGCAUCUUUCCCAACCACAGCCCCCUCUAGUUCCAUUGCACCUGCUGAGUCAUGGGUGCAUGCAGGAAGCUGCUCUUGUGGCAGCCUCGGCUGCCGGAGAGCUCUUUCUGCUCCUGGCCCAAUGCAAAACUAGCAGUCUUCCAUGUGACCUGGUGAAUGGGUUAAACCGUCCAUGUGGAGGCUCCUGAUUCUUCACAGGCUUUAUCUCCAGUCCUCUGGAUGGCAUGUGUCUUACCACGGCAUCUGCUCUGAUUAACGUGACACCCUCUAUAUGGUGACCAACAUGCUGUUUUGCAGAAUGUCUAGAUGGUUCAGGGUGCAGGAAGAUGAUGAGUAUCAAGUACAGCCUCAGGGCAUUGGCAGCAGCCAGACUGUGGUUCUUCUCACUAACUCUUGUCUUGUAAAUGUCCCCAGAAAGUGUGAUCAGCCAGAGUCAUGGAGAAGUCGUGCCUGGUCAGGACCACCUUGCAGUGAGAACCAAAACUAGUCAAAGCUGAUACACAGGGGAAGAUAAAUACCCCCAAGAACAACGUGAGUGUCAGAGAACUCUCCCACUCAACAUCAGAAGAGAUGGCCUAGCCAGAGCAGCCCGAACACACCACGAGCAAGAUGAAAGUCAACAGCUUGGGAGAUAUGCAAGCACACACAGGGCCACUACAAGGAAGCAAAAAGAGACAAAGUCUCAUUGUGUUGCCCAGGCUGGUCUUGACUCCUGGAUUCAAGCAAUCCUCCUGCCUCAGCUUCCCAAAGUGCAGGGAUUACAGGUAUGAGCCACCACACUUAGCACAGAAAGCACUCUGGAGUGUGUUCUCUCUCUCUCUUCUCUCUCUCUUUUCUCUUCUGUCUUCUCUUCUCUCUCUGUCCCCUGUGGGGGUCACAGGAAGAAGACAGCAAGCCAGGAAGAGAGCCGUCACCGGGAGCUGACCAUGCUGACACCACGGUCUUGGACUUUCCAGUCUCCAGAAGGAUAAGAAAAUAAAUCUCUAUUGUGUAAGCCAAUCAGUCUAUGGUAUUUUGUUAUGGCAACUAAAGCAGACUAAAGAUACAUUUCUACUAAAUGCAAUGUGUGAUCCUCAGUUGGAGUCUGAUUUUUUUUAUUCAAUCUGCAAAGGAAAAAACAAACAAGGACAAGUAUAAAAACAGAUAUGAUGAAAUUUAAUCCAAGGCAGAAAAGCAGGUGUCCCCAGAUCCAUCUCCCCAUAAAAGAGCACAUAACAGUGGCUCACGUCUGUAAUCCCAGCACUUUGGGGGGCCGAGACAGGUGGAUCACUUGAGGUCAGGAGUUCGAGACCAGCCUGGCCAACACGGUGAAACCCUACCUCUACAAAAAUACAAAAAUUAGCCGGGCAUGGUGGCAGGCACCUGUAACCCCAGCUACUCGGGAGGCUGAGACAGGAGAAUUGCUUGAACCCGGGAGGUGGAGGUUGCAGUGAGCCAAGAUCGCGCCACUGUACUCCAGCCUGGGCAACGGAGCAAGACUCCAUCUGAAAAAAAAAAAAAAGAGCUCGUAAGACUGUGACGUGGUGAGGCAACAACUCAGACACAGGGCAGGAGCAGACAGAACCAAGAUAAUAACACUGCACAUCUAAUGGAUAAUGAAACAGCAAGAGGCCAGGCAUGGUGGCUCCCACCUGGCAGCUCCCACCUUCCAGCACUCUGGGAGGCCAAGGAGGGCAGAUCUUUUGAGCUCAGGAGUUCGAGGCCAGCCUGGGCAAUAUAGUGAGACACUGUCUCUAAGAAAUAUACAAAAAUUAGCAGGACGUGUCUGUACAUGCCUGUAGUCUCAGCCACUCUGGAGGCUGAUGUGGGAGAAUCACCUGAGCCAGGAUGGGGAGGCUGCGGUGAACCAAGAUGGAGUCAGGAGAAUUGCUGGAACCUGGGAGGCAGAGGUUGCGGUGAGCCGGGAUCAUGCCACUGCACUCCAGCCUGGGCGACAGAGACAGAGUCUGUCUCCAAAAAAAAAAGAAAAAAAAAUACAAGCUUUGGAAUUGGCCUGUAGUAACUGAACUUUCUGUUUGAGGUUUUUCUGGUGAUUAACCUCUAACUACUAUAUAACAUGGGUACAUAGCUAUAAGUUGCUGUCAUUUUGAGACAUUAUCCAUUGGGGUCUCAGGUGACACCUGUAGAGGUGACUCGCCACCCCAUCCCCCCACAUCUUCCUCUCAACGUAGUUAUUACUAUUUUCUAUUAUUAUUUUCAUUUGUUUUUUAAAUGGAGCCCCUCUCUGUUGCCUAGGCUGGAGUGCAGUGGUGUGAUCCCAGCUCACUGCAACCUCCACCUCCCAGGUUCAAGCGAUUCUCCUGCAUCAGCCUCUGAGUAGCUGGAAUUACAGGCAUGUGCAACCACGCCUAGCUAAUUUUUGUUGUUGUUGUUGUUGUAUUUUUAGUAGAGACGGGGUUUCACCAUAUUGGCGAGGCUAGUCUCGAACUCCUGAUCUCAGGUGAUCCGCCUGCCUCGGCCUCCCAAAGCGCUGGGAUUUCAGAUGUAAGCCACCACGCCUGGCCAUUAUCAUUUUCAGUCCUUCUAUUGGUUCUUUCUAUAAGCUUAAACAUAAUAUUUGUGAUUUUAUUACUGGUUCUUCUAUCCAUAGAGGCUUCUCUUGAUUGCCAACAAGGGAAGAUGAAGAUAUUUGUUUCUCUAACCUUGGCUUUAUAACCUCCACCUUCCAGCUCCCAACUUAAGUUAUCUGCACUGUUACUUUUAUACUGUCAGAAUUGAUAGUAUUUAUAAUCUGCUUGCAAUCAAAAUAAACUGGUUUUUUGUUGUUGU